UACAUUCUACUCCGUUCUGAAUUAUUUGUCUUAGAUUUGUCUAAAUACGAAGGUAUCUAGCACUAAAAUGAGUCUAGAUACAUCCGUAUCUAGACAAAUCCAAAACAAGUAAUUCGAAACGGAGGAAGUAUGUU
Molecule: non-coding RNA, 134 nt
Organism: Triticum aestivum (bread wheat)
Lineage: Eukaryota; Viridiplantae; Streptophyta; Magnoliopsida; Poales; Poaceae
Source: Rfam